GGAGUUAGGAAAUGUAAGUGCGCUAAUAUCGCAUUUAUUUGACGAAGGCUCCAAAGGAAGUCACGGCUAACUCGGUGCCAGCAGCCGCGGUAAUACAGAGGUGGCAAGCGUUGUUCGGAAUUAUUGGGCGUAAAGAGCACGUAGGUGGGUUUGUAAGUCAGAUGUGAAAGCCUUCUGUUCAACGGAAGAAUUGCAUCUGAAACUGCGAGUCUUGAGUGUAGGAGGGGAGAGUGGAACUUCUG
This 242-nucleotide ribosomal RNA is filed under the name uncultured Planctomycetales bacterium. Its description in RNAcentral is "partial 16S ribosomal RNA". It matches the Rfam family "Bacterial small subunit ribosomal RNA", at positions 439 to 672 of the family's 1533-position model. The record is from RNAcentral. Lineage: Bacteria; Pseudomonadati; Planctomycetota; Planctomycetia; Planctomycetales.